AGAUUAUUGAAUAUAGCCCAUAUACAAUAUAAAAAAGUUUGUUUCAAGCGCCUGUGCCCGGAAUAUAGAUCUACCCAAAGGUUUUUCACAGUCUAUAUAUUCUUUAUGCAGUGAGCAAUACAUAAUAUUAUUACAUACAGUGCAUCCCCAAUAUUAAUAUAAGUUAAUUCUGAUCUGAGUAUCAUUAUUUUCCUAAAAUAUUUCAUUUCCUACAGAAAUAGCUUUCAUAAAAUUGCAGGCGCUUGUAAACAAAACUUUCAUUUUCAAAACAAGAAACACAAGUUAUUCAUUCCAAGUGUUUCCAAAAUUGCUACCAUUAUUAAUUACCAUUUAUGACCUAUCUUUCAUAAACCAUAUUGUAAAUAUAUAGAGCAAUCUCAGAGAAACUUACAAUUUCUAGCAAUUAUAACAAUUUGUCCCUCAGCAAAACUAAAAUGCCCAUUUCUAUAUAUUACAAAGAUAUUGCAAAAUUUAAAAUGUUGCAAGCUCGGUUUGAUUGAGCCUGUUCAUGGACGGUACUGGAAAGUGCAAGUUACCGUCCACGCCCCCUAGCACCGGCUUAAGCAAAAUUCAACAUUUAAACAUGAAAUAGUAAAAUUUUGAAUUUAGAAACAUCCGCAGAUGUGUUCAUACGGCGGUUAUCAUGGAACCUUCAAUGUGACACUUCCGUGCCAUUCCAUGAAAAAGCGGCGUACGGUCCCCAAGUAAUAAAAAGCGUGUGCCGUAAACGAGAAAACAAUGGGCGGAACUAAAUAAAAUGGAAUUUUGAAAGGGGAUCAGAGGUUAUGAAGCCUGCGUAUCACAGAUAAGACGUCAAAAGACAAAUUUAAAAAGCAGGCAACAUAUUCUAAGGGUGAUUCAACAUUAUUCAAGUAGGAAUAUUGGUACCACCCUACUAGAAAAUGCCGAAAAGUUGAAACUAAAAAUACCACAAGCACAACAAUAAUGUCGUGCUGAACGAUCUUCAAGGAUCGAAAAUAUAACAUACCAUCACAUAUCAAGACGACAUUACCAUAUAUCUUACUAACAGCACAAUAUAUAAAAUGGCAGUAUUUAUCUAACCACAUAACAAUAACUGAAAACCACAGACCAUUUAUCAAAAUCACAGUACCAUAUAUCAAAGUGUCACUUGGUGAGAAAAAUGUGCAGCCUGACCGAGUCUCGAACCCAAUACCCUCGGAAAAUAGUUGAAUUGUCUCGGACGUGUGUAACCAAGUGCUAUUUUUAAGGUUUUUGCUAUUUUUCAAGAAAGGUAACUCUGUCGGCCUUGUUUGAUUUUAAUCUUUACUUUGUGUGAUUAUGUCCCCUUGACCACAUUUGCUAUUUGCUCAACCAUAACGUUUCCCUCCUAAAGUUAGGAUCACUUGAGGCCAUUCUUUGUGUUAAAGAAGUUAUUGCAUGGUCAUUGUGACAUGAAGAUGUGUUGAUUUUAUAUUAUUAAUAAGGAUUUGGAUUGAGGAAUUGGUAUUUUUUACAGCAUAAUUAACAGCACAGUGAGACAGGUGUGAGUGACAGAGGUAUAUUUACAGAGUCUGAUCCACAAUUGGGCUUGGUAGAUGUGAUGUAACUGUGAUGUAACAGGGAUGUAACUGUGAUUGAUGCGAUAUGAUGUUUAUGUUGUACGAUGUAUGAUAUAUGAUGUUUGAUGUGGAGAAGUACUUUGUAACCUGUAAUAAAUAGUGUCCACUACAAAUUAAAUUGAAGAACCAGUA
Molecule: long non-coding RNA, 1712 nt
Organism: Ruditapes philippinarum (Manila clam)
Lineage: Eukaryota; Metazoa; Mollusca; Bivalvia; Venerida; Veneridae
Exons: 3
Source: RefSeq, a predicted model, not a curated record